This 74-nucleotide transfer RNA is filed under the name Alphaproteobacteria bacterium. RNAcentral describes it as "tRNA-Gly". It matches the Rfam family "tRNA". Rfam says of the family: Transfer RNA (tRNA) molecules are approximately 80 nucleotides in length. Their secondary structure includes four short double-helical elements and three loops (D, anti-codon, and T loops). The record is from RNAcentral. Lineage: Bacteria; Pseudomonadati; Pseudomonadota; Alphaproteobacteria. RNAcentral also lists the same sequence under 2 other names.
GCGGGCGUAGUUCAGUGGCAGAACAUCAGCUUCCCAAGCUGAUUACGCGGGUUCGAUUCCCGCCGCCCGCUCCA